GCAUUGGGAUCGACUUCAUUAAAAGGAAAGGUCGAAUGCUGUUGCUUCACGACGUUAGUACAUGUAUUAUCAGUAAUAUUUAAUAAUUGUUAUAUAAAGUUUCUCCUAUUUAAGUUCACCUGUUUAACUUAUUUUAAUUUACUUAUAGAUUUGGGCGUGGGACCAUCUUCAUGUCGGCCGACCUACUAGUGUUGGAGCUAUUGCUGAUAUGGCUAAUUGUUCUUUG
This 226-nucleotide long non-coding RNA is filed under the name Ananas comosus (pineapple). RNAcentral describes it as "long non-coding RNA (ACOM_LNC030240)". Lineage: Eukaryota; Viridiplantae; Streptophyta; Magnoliopsida; Poales; Bromeliaceae. The record is from RNAcentral.